Long non-coding RNA from Etheostoma spectabile (orangethroat darter), 88 nucleotides. RefSeq lists it as uncharacterized. NCBI's taxonomy places the organism in Eukaryota, Metazoa, Chordata, Actinopteri, Perciformes, Percidae. The record is from RefSeq and is a predicted model, not a curated record. The transcript is spliced from 3 exons.
AGAUUUUAUAAACAAAUUUGAGACAUUGAUGCUUUUAAACAGCGUUGGUGUUUUAAUGAGAUUGAUUGUUCUGUUGUUGAGGAGUUGA